GUGAAUCAUCGAAUUUUUGAACGCAAAUUGCACUCUCUCGUGAGAGUAUGCCUGCUUGAGGGUCAGCCUAAAAAAAAUCGACAUAGUCGCUGUUUCGCGGUGACAUUCGUCGGAAAUUGGGUCAUCUUACGCCUUUGGGUUUUAAGCGGCUUAAAAUUUUCUUUACGAUUCCACGAACGUUUCUAAGACUUACUUCUUACACGUUCAAGGAAGUAGAUCUU
This 221-nucleotide unclassified non-coding RNA is filed under the name Glomus sp. RNAcentral's name for it is "partial contains 5.8S ribosomal RNA and internal transcribed spacer 2". The stretch from base 1 to 65 matches the Rfam family "5.8S ribosomal RNA", at positions 84 to 154 of the family's 154-position model. The record is from RNAcentral. Lineage: Eukaryota; Fungi; Glomeromycota; Glomeromycetes; Glomerales; Glomeraceae.